GAAACAUGCUGUUGUUCAAGUCUAUGAUUACUAUGAACCAGAACGCCAAGCUAAAGUGAUGUACAGAAUUGGUGAGACGGAAUGCUAUGGCAACAGAGUUGGCGCUGAGUGCCCAAGAUGUUUGACUUUGGAGAAUCCAGAUGGAAUCCUGG
This is a long non-coding RNA of Dendronephthya gigantea, 152 nucleotides long. RefSeq lists it as uncharacterized. The transcript has 3 exons. NCBI's taxonomy places the organism in Eukaryota, Metazoa, Cnidaria, Anthozoa, Malacalcyonacea, Nephtheidae. The record is from RefSeq and is a predicted model, not a curated record.